RNAcentral lists this small RNA (90 nucleotides) under Arabidopsis thaliana (thale cress). Its description in RNAcentral is "ATSL009600". The record is from RNAcentral. Lineage: Eukaryota; Viridiplantae; Streptophyta; Magnoliopsida; Brassicales; Brassicaceae.
AUUUGUUAGGCACACGUCUUUUCUUUUUCUCCUUUUUAGUUAAGGGCAUCUCCAUCCAUGAAAAACCCACAAAGUUUCUCAAACAAAAAA